Molecule: long non-coding RNA, 8626 nt
Filed under: Zea mays
Lineage: Eukaryota; Viridiplantae; Streptophyta; Magnoliopsida; Poales; Poaceae
Description: long non-coding RNA (ZMAY_LNC003217)
Source: RNAcentral
UCAAUUCUUGCAGCCACGAAACCCUAGCCCCCCCUCUCAAUCCCCUCCUCCCAAGGUGUCAAUCCUUGCCGCUCGGAUCAUCGUCGCCGUGGUGCGAGUCUUCAAUCGUUUUGGUGGAGGGAAGAAGGGAGGAAAGAAAGGGGGAGAAUCUAAGGUGAUUUUUGUGUUCAUCCCUUGUUCAUUUGCGCUGCAAUUUAAUUGAUUAGAGGUUGCGUUUGUGAUUGGGUAGAGGGGGGCUGUCCAGAAUUUUAGGUGGUGGGUGAACAGCAGUAGUCUAGCAGUUUCUGUGUUUUUUCAUGAGGAAUUAAGGGAAAUCAGUUUGGGGAUCAUGUAGAACUUUACCUUACCUUUCCAACGAGUAUUUAUGCCCUCAAUUUGGAGUUAUAAAUUGAAAGUUAUCACCGUUUGAAUCCGGGUAUGUGGCUGUCCAAAAAAACAGAUUUUUUAGGGGAUGAACAGAAGCAGUAUUAGCAGUUUCUGGGGAUUUUUCGGGAGUAAUUAGUGUUAAUCAGUAUGAGAAUCAUGUAGGGCUUUAUGUUAUCUUUCCAACAAGUACUUACGCGCUCGAUUCGGAGUUAUAAUUCAGGAGAUAUCGUUGUUUGAAUCCGGUUAUGUUGCUGUAAAAAAAAACAGAUUUUUCAGGUGGGUGAACAGCAGUGGUAUUAGCAGUUUCUGGGAAUUUUUCAUGGGUAAUUAGUGUUAACCAGUAUGGUAAUCAUGUAGGGAUUUGUCUUAUCUUUCCAAUGAGUACUUAUGCGCUUGAUUUGGAAUUAUAUUUUAAAAGAUAUCGCUGUUUGAAUCUGGGUAUGUCGCUGUCCAAAAGACAAAGAAAAACAGAUUACAGGGUUCAUCUUGUGGACUGUUUUGGGCUAAUUAGAUAUUGGAAUUUAAUUAUAAAUUGUAUACAAAACUUGUGACGAAUUUUAUGUAGAUGCCUCUGGAGUUUUUGUUUGUUACCACUGCUGUCAUAAUUUUAAAGUUAUGAAAUUAUUAAGCAGCGCCGCUGCAGUUUGGUGGGUGUAGGGAGAGAUGUAACCCGCGGCGGGGUUUGAGUUUGUGCGUAGGUGCGGCGUCGCUUAUGAGCCUGAUUAUGUGAAAUUGGUGUACUAAGUUGGGUGUCAAAAACAGGUGGUGGACUUCCGGAUCGUACUUAGGGAUUUGCCCGAACUUCCGGUAAAGGCAAGUAAAUACAGUGGUGGUUGCUACCGUUUGGUUUGCAUCCUAUUCCCUGUCAUUGAGUAUGCAUAAGUUUUAAUUAUGUUAAUCAUUGAAUUCUAUGAUGAAGUUUAUUUGUUUGGAAGUAUUAAUUCUCAAUUGUCUAAUAUUGUGGAUGAUCAUAAUUUGGUAAUGAUAUAUGUGGUUGAUUCCCAUCGGGAUGAAGUUGAAGUGUCUUUUUGAAUCAUGUUAUAUGAAGUGUUGUAGGCAUGACAUGCACAUCGCAUCAUCCAUCUUGCAUUUUGAAGUUAUGUCGUGAUCUUAUGGUCCGACCAUACCGGUACAUUUUUAGCAUCGUACGUUGCCCGAGGAGGGGUACGAUGCGGCUUCAUAUCCUUAGAGGUAUGAAGGCAGAAGUCAUCCUUGCAUUUGCAGACAUUUGCACUCAUGAGGAAUAUAUGAAGUGUGACAUUACUAUGUUACUAUUGUGGUUUCUACCUGCGAGGUGUGGUAACUAGGUGCGUUGUACGUUGUAUACGUGCUGCACCUUCGUAAUAAGAAGGUUGUGGAAUUAAGUGGUGGUAAAACAAUGUUCUUAUGUGGUUAAAUUGUUUGAUAUUAUUUUACUUGCUGAGAUGUGUCAUCUCACUCUUGCAUUACUCAAUGCAGGUACUUGAUACAUGUUGGGAAUGAGGGGAGUAGCAGCAUGUCCACUUUCACUCUCACAAUAACGCUGCCCAGGCACAACCAUGAUUUAAUUAGAAACCUAUUGUCAAAGGAAGUUUGUUUAUUUUUUUAUAUGGUCGUGCGCACUGGUUAAUUCAGUUCAGGUCGUAUGUUUAUCUUUCCUUGCUAGGCGAGUAAUAAUACUUAGUAUGUUUUAGUCAUGAUAUAUGUUUAUACUCUGUUGCUCCCUCUUUUAUGCAAUCUUGCAAAGGGGAUGCUGCCGAAAUUUUAUAUAUGGACGUCGAAAGUGUAGUACAACCAGGUUGUUUAUGGAACUUGGAGUGUUACAGUUGGUAUCAGAGGAUAGGCUUUAGAUUCUACGCAAUUUGAAGAUAAAUUUGACACACUUGCACAUAUAGGAAGGGUAUGGGUUCAUAUAUCUUUCAUAUUAGUAUUUUUAUUGUAUAGAUGACUAGAAUUUCCUUACUCCAAACCCCUUUAUGGUUUGAUGAGGUAUGUCGUUAACGACGUAAUGCUUGAUAUGAAAUGUUACUUCUAUUUAAUAUUGGUUUCUUGAUGUGGUUGUUAUUGAAAUUAUUAUGCGAGUGAAGCUACUAAUGUACUUGUUUUAUAUACAUAUCGUCAUGAUGUUUUUUGGGAUGCAAUGUUUACUAAUCUCUGAGCUAUUACCAUCAUAUAUUUCUAUAUGCUUGACUGUGGAUGUUUUUUUCCCAAAAGGAUUCUUGGGUUCUAGUACUUGUAGGACCGAUUGUUUAUUGAGCUUGUGUAUAGAGGAUCUAAUCCGACUUGGUGUAGUGUGAAAACACUAUACAAUGAAGUUUUAUGGUGUUGUUGAGUUGGAUUGACUGUUGGGUUACAACCCAACUUAUCAAUGUAAUAUUUCCAUGGGUGCAGUGCUUUACACCUCACCUCUUUUUUUUGGCUAGUGUGGCUACUUGCCAACUUGAUCUUAGAGUACAAUAGGUUUGUCUCCGUAGAGCAAAGGCAAUGUUGUACUGUCUAUGAUAUCUUGAGACUAGAAGAACUCAAGUGAAUUUGCAAGAUGACGUGGGUAGAUAAGUCCAACCAUGUUUACAUGAUAGGUUUUCUUAUUGUGUGCAACCUUAUCUUUAAUAAUAAAUAGGGUGAUUUCAAGUGGAUUUUUAUGUCUAUAUUAUAGUUGAAGAGGCAUGCAUGUUUUCCUUCUAUGGUUUGUUUCUAUAGCCAAAAAGGUUAUGCAUAAUUUCUAUUUGUUGGAGGCUAGUCAUGCGGACGAUAUGGACAACCCGUUUUAUAUUGUUUUUAAUCGCCGAUGAUACAUGGUAGUUUUUUUUAUAUGAUCAGUUCUCUAUGCAUGCUUGUGGAAUUAUUAUUUGGACCGCUUUAUCUUAAACAAAGUCAAUGUUUAACUGGAAGUUGCUUAUGUUUGUUAGUCAUCUAUCUCUAUAAUGAUGUGGUUGUUGCAUUAGAUGGAGAUUUUUAUUAUAUGAAUGAUGGUUUGAUAGAUCAUGUAUGUCUACUACUUUGAAUUCAUCCUAUGACAUCACUAGGUACAAAUUGUUCAAGUGCAAUAAUAGGAGGUAUUGUUGUAAGUGAGGUUAAUCAAAGUAGUUGGGUUAGGUGGAUUAUCUUAUUGAAGUCCAAUUACUCCUGUUGAGCAUAGUAUCGUGUUAUUAUUUUAGUGUUGAAAGUAAUAUUUAUGAAGCUUUUGCAUGAGUCUGUGUCAAGAAGUACAUUAGUUUUUUCUUGUUGUUAUCCCUCCAUUGCUUUAUGAGUAUUGCAAAUUUUAUCUCUUUUGAGAGGGGGAAAAGAUGUUAUAUGACAUGAGCACCAUUUGCUUCACGUCAACAGAAUAGUUUUGGAGAUUUCUAGUAGUUGGAUUCUAGUGUAAUAACAACCAUGUUUUAUAGAGCUGGAGACGGGUAUGUCAGGUGUUUCAUACAUUGUCGGUACAUGGAUGUUUGACCUUAGUGGCAUUAACAAACGAGGUUGUUGAAUUCAUUGAUUGUUGUGCUUAGUGUUCUAACCUAUUUGGUAGAGUGUUAUUUAAAGACUUUGUGGAGUUGCAUCCCAGUUUGGUAGUGGAAAAUCCUAGUGUUGAUGGCACCUGCCAAUGACUUGGGUUUCAUUUUAUAUUGUUUUUUUAUUGUUGAUAAUGUGUUGUCUGGUUUUGGGAGGCAUUUUAAAUUAGUUGGAGGCUGAAUCAGGCUUCACUUAUCUAGAAUGUUUUGUAGUAUGUUUCUGCAUCUUUCCAUAGGAUGCUUAAUCACCAUGUUUGGUCUAAACAUUUGAGAGAUAUGGGUUUCUUAAAACAUCUUUGUUGGUGUCUCUAGCAGAGUGAGUCUUUAAUUUUGUACGGAAGAGUAGACAUUGAAGACGGUAUAAUUUGGUCUUUGUGGAUUAUGAAAGUUUUAGUAAUUUCAUGAUCUUUUCAAAGAGUAUGGGUUUCUAAUUCUCAUUGCAUAUAAUUGGAGUUAGGUUGCUCUGAAGUUGUUGCACUGUUGUGUCUAAACUUUAGGCGUAGUUAUAAUCACCAAUAAAUCGACCGCGUUUUGAUAGUUGCAGAGCACAAAUUUGCGAAUUCUCUUUAAGCAAAACUUGUAGGUAUUUUCAGUACCUUUUUAAUGGGUAUUUACUUGUAACUGUCUGUUAAAUAGAUUUGGAGAGGUGGUUGCCCGGAUAUAAGUCGAAUCUCUAAUGUGCAGUAUCUCAGGCUGAGUUUAGCUGUAGGUCAUGCAGAGUUGUGGGCUAUAAGGAUAAAUUUGGGUGCAACUUUAUUGCAAAAGUCGUGGACAAUUUUCAAAACUUUUCCAACGCGUGUUCGUUGUAGUUUAAGUUGAGUAUAGCAGGAGUUAUAGGUUUUUGAAUUUUAGUUGUCCAUUGUUUCAAUCUUAUCAGUUUUGAAACAAAAUAGUUGCAUUGUUUUAUCGGUUUGGAAACCAAUUCCGACACACUCAUUAUAAUAAAAGUUCUAGGGAAUGUUAUAAUCUUUUCAGUGAGUUUAUAUUUGCAAAAUUUUGUUAGCUGCAGGGAGUUAUGAUAUCAUGUAUAGAAUGUGCUUGGAUGAAUAUGUGGGCAGACAUAACAUGCUUAAAUUGAUUCUUGUUUGCAUGAUGUGAGAUUAGGCUUAAAUGAUUUAAAAAGUUAUCAUAUUGCUUCUAUACUUAUAUUUGUUCUAGGUGUCUCGUAAUGAAGAACCUAAAGUUAUUAGUCUUUCAAUGAACGCUUAAUCUUAGAAGAGUAAUGAACCUGAUAAAAUCUAUUGCUUGCUAUUGGGACUGCAUGACCAGUUUUAGUUAUGCAGCUAGUUCAGUGAAGUAAACCAUCUUUUCUGUAGAGAUGUUAUAUAUAAUAGUUGUAGCCAACUUAUUUAUCUUACUUGUGUAAAAAUUUCAUGACCAUAGGUCUAGUAGUUUGGGAGUUAUGAUUUUCUCAAGUCCAGUCUUGAAAUCUGUGCAGAUUCUAUACAGAUUUCGAAGCUGACCUUGUUGCCCAAUUUAAACUUCGAAUAACUUAUUAUAAAUUAUAAAUAAGUUGUAGUGCUUUUCUUAAUCGUUACAACAAAUUUUGGAUUAAAUUUUUUUUUGGAGAUCUAUAAGUUAAGUUACAGCUAUUUUAAGUGUGAUCUCUGAAUCUGUCCAAAUUUGGAUAGCAGAGCCUUUCUCCUGUCUUUUGACCUUAAUAUGCAUUGAAUUAACUUGAUAUGUUUAUAAAUGAAUUAUAGACAAUUCUACUAGCUUUCUAAAAAGUCUGGGAGCACCUGAAUUGGAUGAUUGAGACUCCAAUUAUGGAUUUUUGAAUCGAGUAGUUGAAUUAUGUCCAAGUCUGGAUAGAAUUUACGUUUAGCACUGUUUGACCAUUCUAAGUGUCAAAUCUUGUUGUGAUGAUAAUACCAAGGGUAUAGUGGACUUUAUAAGUUUUCCAUAAAGUCCUAGUUUACUAACUUUCGAUGCAUAUUUUUGUGAGUUAGGAGCAAAACAAUUAACCGCUGUGCUGCUAUCUAGAAAUAUGCAAGCAUUAAGUUGCUCUCUUGAAGUUGCUCUUGUGUGGCUAAGUUUGGUUUAGCCUAUAGGAACAUUUUAUGCCUUGCAUUCAUAUAUACAUUCCUUGAAGUACUUGCAUAUGUCAAUGAUUGAUUUGGUGUCAGGAAAGCUUGGUCCGAGGUAUAUAGGACCGUCUGCUAUCUUGGCCUAGUUGGCAGCUGGGCUUAGCACAUGUAAUUGUCAGAAUCUGUGAUCAGAGUACACAAGUAUUCCAUGUCUUUUUGUUGAGGAAGUAUUUGCGGAAUCCAGACCAUCAAAUCGAGCUAGAGCCGAUUCCUGUGUAGCAAGAGCAGACUCUAGAGUGUCGUCUGCUGCGUAUCUUAGAAUCCUAGGAGCUUGAGGAGCUGAUGCGGCAGAAGUACUCGAACUUUUCUUUAUGUGUGAGUUUUGUUGAUUCAAUAACCUUUCUUUUGUUGUUCCGAUAGAAGCGUCAGAAUUCGAGGUCGAAUUCUUUUUAAGAGGGGUAGAGUGUGAUAUCCGGUUUGCAAAGAAGAGAAGUUGGGGGUUGUUCUUUUUGUUUUUUCCUCAUCCGGUUGUUGUUUUGGGGAUUUGGGAUUUUGUGGAAAACAUUCACAACUAGGGCAGUAGAAUUUAUUUGGUUUGACGCUUGCGUUGCGGUCGGGAGCUGUCGCGUGGGUUAGUUGGGCUGCAAUUGGAGUUUCGGCCCAUUAACCCUCCCAAACCCUAGCCGCCUCCCUCCUAACCCCCCUCCCCCCAUGUGCAGCCGCCCCCCCCCACUUCUCUUCCCUCUUGGCCGCCGCCACCCUGCCCAUCUCCUCCUCUCUCAAUUCUUGCAGCCACCAAACCCUAGCCCCCCUCUCAAUCCCCUCCUCCCAAGGUGCCAAUCCUUGCCGCUCGGAUCAUCGUCGCCGUGGUGCGAGUCUUCAAUCGUUUUGGUGGAGGGAAGAAGGGAGGAAAGAAAGGGGGAGAAUCUAAGGUGAUUUUUGUGUUCAUCCCUUGUUCAUUUGCGCUGCAAUUUAAUUGAUUAGAGGUUGCGUUUGUGAUUGGGUAGAGGGGGGCUGUCCAGAAUUUUAGGUGGUGGGUGAACAGCAGUAGUCUAGCAGUUUCUGUGUUUUUUUCAUGAGGAAUUAAGGGAAAUCAGUUUGGGGAUCAUGUAGAACUUUACCUUACCUUUCCAACGAGUAUUUAUGCCCUCAAUUUGGAGUUAUAAAUUGAAAGUUAUCACCGUUUGAAUCCGGGUAUGUGGCUGUCCAAAAAAACAGAUUUUUUAGGGGAUGAACAACAGCAGUAUUAGCAGUUUCUGGGGAUUUUUCGGGAGUAAUUAGUGUUAAUCAGUAUGAGAAUCAUGUAGGGCUUUAUGUUAUCUUUCCAACAAGUACUUACGCGCUCGAUUCGGAGUUAUAAUUCAGGAGAUAUCGUUGUUUGAAUCCGGUUAUGUUGCUGUCCAAAAAAACAGAUUUUUCAGGUGGGUGAACAGCAGUGGUAUUAGCAGUUUCUGGGAAUUUUUCGUGGGUAAUUAGUGUUAACCAGUAUGGUAAUCAUGUAGGGAUUUGUCUUAUCUUUCCAAUGAGUACUUAUGCGCUUGAUUUGGAAUUAUAUUUCAAAAGAUAUCGCUGUUUGAAUCUGAGUAUGUCGCUGUCCAAAAGACAAAGAAAAACAGAUUACAGGGUUCAUCUUGUGGACUGUUUUGGGCUAAUUAGAUAUUGGAAUUUAAUUAUAAAUUGUAUACAAAACUUGUGGGAAAUUUUAUGUAGAUGCCUCUGGAGUUUUUGUUUGUUACCACUGCUGUCAUAAUUUUAAAGUUAUGAAAUUAUUAAGCAGCGCCGCUGCAGUUUGGUGGGUGUAGGGAGAGAUGUAACCCGCGGCGGGGUUUGAGUUUGUGCGUAGGUGCGGCGUCGCUUAUGAGCCUGAUUAUGUGAAAUUGGUGUACUAAGUUGGGUGUCAAAAACAGGUGGUGGACUUCCGGAUCGUACUUAGGGAUUUGCCCGAACUUCCGGUAAAGGCAAGUAAAUACAGUGGUGGUUGCUACCGUUUGGUUUGCAUCCUAUUCCCUGUCAUUGAGUAUGCAUAAGUUUUAAUUAUGUUAAUCAUUGAAUUCUAUGAUGAAGUUUAUUUGUUUGGAAGUAUUAAUUCUCAAUUGUCUAAUAUUGUGGAUGAUCAUAAUUUGGUAAUGAUAUAUGUGGUUGAUUCCCAUCGGGAUGAAGUUGAAGUGUCUUUUUGAAUCAUGUUAUAUGAAGUGUUGUAGGCAUGACAUGCACAUCGCAUCAUCCAUCUUGCAUUUUGAAGUUAUGUCGUGAUCUUAUGGUCCGACCAUACCGGUACAUUUUUAGCAUCGUACGUUGCCCGAGGAGGGGUACGAUGCGGCUUCAUAUCCUUAGAGUUAUGAAGGCAGAAGUCAUCCUUGCAUUUGCAGACAUUUGCACUCAUGAGGAAUAUAUGAAGUGUGACAUUACUAUGUUACUAUUGUGGUUUCUACCUGCGAGGUGUGGUAACUAGGUGCGUUGUACGUUGUAUACGUGCUGCACCUUCGUAAUAAGAAGGUUGUGGAAUUAAGUGGUGGUAAAACAAUGUUCUUAUGUGGUUAAAUUGUUUGAUAUUAUUUUACUUGCUGAGAUGUGUCAUCUCACUCUUGCAUUACUCAAUGCAGGUACUUGAUACAUGUUGGGAAUGAGGGGAGUAGCAGCACGUCCACUUUCACUCUCACAAUAACGCUGCCCAGGCACAACCAUGAUUUAAUUAGAAACCUAUUGUCAAAGGAAGUUUGUUUAUUUUUUUAUAUGGUCGUGCGCACUGGUUAAUUC